GAUGAACGCUGGCGGCGUGCCUAAUACAUGCAAGUCGAGCGAACAGACGAGGAGCUUGCUCCUCUGACGUUAGCGGCGGACGGGUGAGUAACACGUGGAUAACCUACCUAUAAGACUGGGAUAACUUCGGGAAACCGGAGCUAAUACCGGAUAAUAUAUUGAACCGCAUGGUUCAAUAGUGAAAGACGGUUUUGCUGUCACUUAUAGAUGGAUCCGCGCCGCAUUAGCUAGUUGGUAAGGUAACGGCUUACCAAGGCAACGAUGCGUAGCCGACCUGAGAGGGCGAUCGGCCACACUGGAACUGAGACACGGUCCAGACUCCUACGGGAGGCAGCAGUAGGGAAUCUUCCGCAAUGGGCGAAAGCCUGACGGAGCAACGCCGCGUGAGUGAUGAAGGUCUUCGGAUCGUAAAACUCUGUUAUUAGGGAAGGACAAAUGUGUAAGUAACUAUGCACGUCUUGACGGUACCUAAUCAGAAAGCCACGGCUAACUACGUG
This 497-nucleotide ribosomal RNA is filed under the name uncultured bacterium. RNAcentral's name for it is "partial 16S ribosomal RNA". It matches the Rfam family "Bacterial small subunit ribosomal RNA", at positions 28 to 507 of the family's 1533-position model. The record is from RNAcentral.